Molecule: long non-coding RNA, 1853 nt
Organism: Vulpes vulpes (red fox)
Lineage: Eukaryota; Metazoa; Chordata; Mammalia; Carnivora; Canidae
Source: Ensembl
AUGAGUUGCGCCUCCGCGGGGCCCCGCCCGGCCGCCCCACCCACCAGCCCACAACAUCAGGGAGAGGCGUGUCAGUCCCCCGCCCUUGGCCAAUCCCCGCCGGCCACAGCUGGCUUUCCCGCCCGGCCCCUUCGGCGUCGCCCAGCGAGGCGGCCGCGCGCGGCCGGCCAAUCAGGAGCACGACGCCGUCCCGCCCCGGCCCUCGUUCGCUGGGGCCGGACUCGGUCGGCAUCCGGGAAGCCAGCGGCCCCGCCUCUCCGCAGCUGCAGGCGCUGGUUUAAAGGCGGUGUCGGGAAGCCGGUGCGCGGUUGGUGUCGUCGCCCUCGCGCCCGCUCGGGUAAGGGCCGCGGGGCCGCGGAGCCGCGGAGCCGCGGAGCCGCAUCUCCUUCUCGGGGCAGGGGGGAGGCGACAGAAGCGGCCGCGCGCCGCCUUCCCCGAGCUCCUGGCUGGCCGCGGGGCCGCGGGGCCCGACGGGAGCUGGCGCCGCGCCGGAAGUGGGGGGGGACACAAGGCGAGGCGUGGCUGAGGUGGGGGUCCCGAAGAAGAACCGGGUCGGCGUCGGGUGGGGGAGAUGGCGUACCUGUCCGGGCGGGCAGGCUCUGGAGGGGGGCCCUGAUGGGGAAUCCUAGAUUUUUCAUAGUGAGAAUUAACCAAACAAAAUAAGCCAAGAUGUCUGUGGACCCGAUGACCUACGAGGCCCAGUUCUUCGGCUUCACACCGCAAACCUGCAUGCUGAGAAUCUACAUUGCAUUUCAAGACUACCUGUUUGAAGUGAUGCAGGCCGUCGAACAGGUCAUUCUGAAAAAGCUAGGUGACCUCCCAGGCUGUGAGAUCAGCCCUGUCCAGGUUCGUAAAUGCACAGAGAAGUUCCUCGGCUUCAUGAAGGGACGUUUCGAUAACCUUUUUGGCAAAAUGGAGCAGCUGUUUUUACAGUUGAUUCUGCGCAUUCCGCCAAACAUUUUGCUUCCGGAAGACAAACCCCAGGAGCUGCAUCCUUGUAGUGAGGAAGAGUUCCGGCUCCUCCAGGAGGAAAUUGAACAGUUACAGGAGAAGUAUAAGACUGAAUUAGGCACUAAGCAGGCCCUUCUUGCAGAAUUAGAGGAACAAAAAAUUAUGCAGGCCCAACUUAAGCAGACACUUGUUUUGUUUGAUGAACUCGAAAAUGCUGGCCGAGAUCAUGGGACUAGUGAUUUCAGGGAAAGCCUGGUGUUCCUGGUCCAGAACUCCAGAAAACUACAGACUAUUAGGGACACUGUGGAACGGGAAGGCAAGAGAAUGAAAAUACUGUAAUUUCUAAGUAGUGACAGAAACCCGUCAGAAAGUAGAAUAGGAAGGGAUUGAUGUGAAUGAUAUUCUGGUGAACUGAAUGUCUUAUGGGAUUUCAUUUAUUGGCUCUUGUACUCCGCACUUCCCUCUGUCUGGCCCCACUCUGCUAGGGCAUCUACACUACCCUGAACUAAUCCUUGGAGCCCGUGUUCCCUAGAGACCUCUCACAGGUGGGAAGGGGUUCCUGGUCCAGCAGCAUGUCGCCGGGCACUAAGACUGCAGAGAGAUCUGUAAAAGCAGUUCCUUGAUCAGGGGCUCCUUGUAACCUUGAUCCUUCUGACUUAUUCUUUGGAUGUGAUCAAAUGAGAAAAAGGUUAAGUGGGCGGCUUCGUUAGGAACUAGCCACUGCAUGGCUGGAUGGGUGCCGGCACCCGUGGCCUGCUCUUGUCCACGAAUUGCCUUACACAGCAAGUUAGCCGAUGGGAAGAAGCAAAUAGAGAAACACCACCUGUGUGAUCCUUAGUAAAGAGAGAAGUUGUUUUCGUUCCUAAAAUAAAUGCUUUCUGUGAUCAUGGUGUUGGAGAUGU